Molecule: ribosomal RNA, 461 nt
Filed under: uncultured beta proteobacterium
Lineage: Bacteria; Pseudomonadati; Pseudomonadota; Betaproteobacteria
Description: bacterial SSU rRNA
Rfam family: Bacterial small subunit ribosomal RNA
Source: RNAcentral
UUAGAGUUUGAUCAUGGCUCAGAUUGAACGCCGGCGGCAUGCUUACACAUGCAAGUCGAACGGUAGAGGGGGCAACCCCUUGAGAGUGGCGAACGGGUGAGUAAUAUAUCGGAACGUGCCCAGUCGUGGGGGAUAACGUAGAGAAAUUUACGCUAAUACCGCAUACGAUCCAAGGAUGAAAGCGGGGGACUCUGCAAAGAGCCUCGCGCGACUGGAGCGGCUGAUAUCAGAUUAGCUUGUUGGUGAGGUAAAAGCUCACCAAGGCGACGAUCUGUAGCUGGUUUGAGAGAACGACCAGCCACACUGGGACUGAGACACGGCCCAGACUCCUACGGGAGGCAGCAGUGGGGAAUUUUGGACAAUGGGCGCAAGCCUGAUCCAGCAAUGCUGCGUGCAGGAAGAAGGCCUUCGGGUUGUAAACUGCUUUUGUACGGAACGAAAAAGCUCUUUUAAAAGAGGCC